This 76-nucleotide transfer RNA is filed under the name Salmonella enterica. RNAcentral's name for it is "tRNA-Lys". It matches the Rfam family "tRNA". From Rfam's summary of the family: Transfer RNA (tRNA) molecules are approximately 80 nucleotides in length. The record is from RNAcentral. Lineage: Bacteria; Pseudomonadati; Pseudomonadota; Gammaproteobacteria; Enterobacterales; Enterobacteriaceae.
GGGUCGUUAGCUCAGUUGGUAGAGCAGUUGACUUUUAAUCAAUUGGUCGCAGGUUCGAAUCCUGCCCGACCCACCA